UUGCUCCUCCUGUUUUGACUAUAAAAGAAGAGGUUCAACUAUUUGUCUUCAGUUUGAUCGUAGACUCUUGCUGCUUCCUUCCUCUCCAACUUUAUCUGUCCUAUUCACAUUAACCCUCAUAAGAAAUGGAAGAAAUUGAAGGAAUUUUUGAGGCUUUUGAAGAUUAUGUUGACGGGGCAGACGAGGCCGCAGAAGACUUGACAGAAGAAGAAAAGGCAGAACUAGAGAGGGAAGUCGCUGAAGCAAAAAAUGCACUUUCUGAGCUUUCAGAACAAUUAAAGAGUUUCAAAGAAAUCCUUCAGAAUUUAAAAUCAGCAAUAGGGCCAAUAACAAAAUGGUUGGCAAGAAAUAUAGCUAUUGGUGCCAUCUUUUGGGGAGUUAGUACUGGUCUGACCAGACUGCUCAAGUAUGCAACUCCUAAAGAAAAGGAAAGGAAACGUACUAUCAUUAGUGCUCUCAAGUGUGUGAUCAACAGUGAAACUGACCUAAGCAAGAAGACGCUGAGUUGGACCAAGGAUCACCAGGAUGACAUGAUUACCCUGGAAACCUAUCCCGUGCCUCUGGAAUCCAUCAUGGCCAAAUAUCUGACUCCAGUAUCAAAGAGUCUCUUCUUUUCACUCCUCCCAAACUCUACAAUCAUGGAAUUGAUUAACUGGUCUCUCAGCACAACCAGAAGUCAGGGGGUGAGGGAGCCCUCCUGCCCCCAUGGGAUGUUUUUACUGGAUACACAAUGGAUUCCUGGAAACACUGGAAACCGUUGUGUUUGGUGAUUCUGUCUGUCGAGGACGUUGAAGAUGCUUCAUAAUUGGAUUUAUGAUAGCAGGAUUUCUUCUAAUUGGAGUGGGGAUUUUCCUGGCCUAUCGACAAACGCGUAAGUCGUCGACAGCUGUUCUGGCUCUUUCAGAGCUGCCGGACGUGGCUGAAGGAUCAAGCAAGGUGAUCAACACUCAGACUUUAACGUUGGGGGAGCAAAGCCGUAAGCUGGAUGUGAUUCUUGAACAGAAUCUCAAUCACAAAAUGAAAUUAGACGAGUUGGAGUUAGAGAUAUUAGUGGAAGAGGCAAAUUGUUGUGCCGUAUUCAGCACCCCUGCCGUGAAAAGCACCCCCUCGUAUAUUCAAUGAUAAGUAGACCAAGAAAAAAAACAACACACUGACACUUCAAUAUAUUUAUAUAUACACACUCACACAAACACAUACUUAGGAGUUUAUAAUAUAUAUAUAUAUUUACAAAUAUUAUGGAAGACAACACAGUAAGCAGGCUAUUAAUUAAUGACAUCAAUAACCAUUUACCUGAUUUUUGUUAUCUGUGACUGUGAUUGUGGGAAAGUAUGACUAUUGUGGAAUCCAUGAGCGCAUUUAAACAUGAAUCAUUAACACAAAACUGGACGCUAAACAGAACGUGACACGGAAUGAGAAUAUCAUUUUUGUCAGACGAGGGGGUGCUUUUCACGGCAGGGGUGCUGAAUACGGCACAACACCGGGGUAUGACAACUGCAGAAGAUAUACAUUUUGUGAUAUUCAUUUCGUGAUUUAUUGUGUGGAAAAUACUGCAAUGUAGUUGCAGGU
Molecule: RNA transcript, 1566 nt
Organism: Cololabis saira (Pacific saury)
Lineage: Eukaryota; Metazoa; Chordata; Actinopteri; Beloniformes; Belonidae
Exons: 3
Source: RefSeq, a predicted model, not a curated record